Molecule: microRNA precursor, 150 nt
Filed under: Gossypium arboreum
Lineage: Eukaryota; Viridiplantae; Streptophyta; Magnoliopsida; Malvales; Malvaceae
Description: MIR7502 microRNA precursor family
Rfam family: MIR7502 microRNA precursor family
Source: Rfam by way of RNAcentral
UGUUAAAACUUUCAUCCAUUUGUAUUGUUAAAAACUAGCGUAGCAGACAAAAUAAUUAACGACUAACAUGUGGUGUAUCACAUGUACCUCAUGUCAUAUUGAUGUAUAAGGACCAGUUGUUAAUAUUAAAAACAGAUGGAAUUUUUAAUA